UCCCUGAAGGAUUAGUGGUUAGGCCACGGCGCUCUCACUGCCGAGGCCCGGGGUUCGAUUCCCGGCCAGGGAA
Non-coding RNA from Pangasius djambal, 73 nucleotides. The record is from the annotation of a GenBank genome assembly. Lineage: Eukaryota; Metazoa; Chordata; Actinopteri; Siluriformes; Pangasiidae.